This 500-nucleotide ribosomal RNA is filed under the name uncultured bacterium. Its description in RNAcentral is "partial 16S ribosomal RNA". It matches the Rfam family "Bacterial small subunit ribosomal RNA", at positions 30 to 523 of the family's 1533-position model. The record is from RNAcentral.
AUUGAACGCUGGCGGAAUGCUUUACACAUGCAAGUCGAACGGCAGCACGGACUUCGGUCUGGUGGCGAGUGGCGAACGGGUGAGUAAUGUAUCGGAACGUGCCCAGUCGUGGGGGAUAACGUAGUGAAAAUUACGCUAAUACCGCAUACGAUCUAUGGAUGAAAGCGGGGGAUCGCAAGACCUCGCGCGAUUGGAGUGGCCGAUAUCAGAUUAGGUAGUUGGUGGGGUAAAGGCCCCCCAAGACAACGAUCUGUAGCUGGUCCGGGAGGACGACCAGCCACACUGGAACUGAGACACGGUCCAGACUCCUACGGGAGGCAGCAGUGGGGAAUUUUGGACAAUGGGCGAAAGCCUGAUCCAGUCAUUCCGCGUGCAGGAUGAAGGCCCUCGGGUUGUAAACUGCUUUUGUACAGAACGAAAAGGUUUCUACUAAUACUAGGAGCUCAUGACGGUACUGUAAGAAUAAGCACCGGCUAACUACGUGCCAGCAGCCGCCGUAA